AACCCCUCAUAACAUAUGCACAUUAUGAGAGUAAGAGUCUCGAACGAGUUUUAAAACACAAAACGAGGAUCAAGACACAAUCUUCGAUGUCUACUUGGCAUCGUCACCAUGAUGACCGACCCCGGAGCUCAAUGAUACCAAUUUGCAGAUGUGCAGUGUGUGAACCAGUAUAGCCUACUGUCGCUCUGAAAUGGAAAGUAAGGGUCAGUGCUAAUCACUAAGUGAAGACCUCUGCCCUAGUCACUCUAAGGUACAAUUAAUCAUAUAGAAAGUAUAUAGUAUAUAACACAUAAGGCUAAUUUUAUAAUCUAAUUCAUAUCUAUAUUUUAUUUGGGAUCUCGGCUCACAUAUGCUGAUGACCCACGUAGAGUUAGUGGCACUAAAAACAUAUGCUGACGACCCACAUAGAGUUACUGGCACUAAAAUGACCCACGUAGAAUUAGUGUGGCGCUUAUCAAAACUCAUGUUAAUAGUUAGUUGUGGAGCUUAUCAAGGCCCAUCGCGUAACAGAAGUGCAAUAAGCACAAUCGCCAGCAUACAGGCCUUAACUAGGUGAUCAAUCAAUUACCAUAUUUUUUCAAUAAUCAGUAAUAACUAUUGCUCAGAUUAACACAUAUAUUAAAUCAGAUGUAUCGGUAAAGUAAUAGAACCUGUACCAUAUUAAGUCAUAGAUAGGGUAAAGAAGCAUAUAUAAUCUUAGCAUUAAACGGACAUCACCCUAUCAUGCAUAUGGCCUUUAAUAAUAAUAAAGCCAUAAUGGAACGUCUAACCCGGUCGGAUACGCAGGAGACCCUCACCAGAAAUAGCCCUUGAGAAAACUGAUAAUAACUUCCGAGUUGAGAUCGUACGUAAUUCAAAGGACUUGAAGUAUGAACCAGGUAUGAGGCACUUGCUUCUUCUAUAUUUCCUAUAUUUAAGUAUCCUACAUCAAACUAUUUCUGCCUUACAACUUAAUCGAUACUGUACUAUUUAUAAUGGAGAUUGGGG
RNAcentral lists this long non-coding RNA (987 nucleotides) under Linum usitatissimum (flax). RNAcentral's name for it is "long non-coding RNA (LUSI_LNC002927)". Lineage: Eukaryota; Viridiplantae; Streptophyta; Magnoliopsida; Malpighiales; Linaceae. The record is from RNAcentral.